AGAUCGAACUGUAGAGUUUGAUCCUGGCUCAGAUUGAACGCUGGCGGCAUGCCUUACACAUGCAAGUCGAACGGUAACAGGUCUUCGGAUGCUGACGAGUGGCGAACGGGUGAGUAAUACAUCGGAACGUGCCCGAUCGUGGGGGAUAACGGAGCGAAAGCUUUGCUAAUACCGCAUACGAUCUACGGAUGAAAGCGGGGGAUCUUCGGACCUCGCGCGGACGGAGCGGCCGAUGGCAGAUUAGGUAGUUGGUGGGAUAAAAGCUUACCAAGCCGACGAUCUGUAGCUGGUCUGAGAGGAUGAUCAGCCACACUGGGACUGAGACACGGCCCAGACUCCUACGGGAGGCAGCAGUGGGGAAUUUUGGACA
RNAcentral lists this ribosomal RNA (370 nucleotides) under Alicycliphilus sp. 69-12. RNAcentral describes it as "bacterial SSU rRNA". It matches the Rfam family "Bacterial small subunit ribosomal RNA", at positions 1 to 370 of the family's 1533-position model. Lineage: Bacteria; Pseudomonadati; Pseudomonadota; Betaproteobacteria; Burkholderiales; Comamonadaceae. The record is from RNAcentral.